Molecule: long non-coding RNA, 1434 nt
Filed under: Oncorhynchus kisutch (coho salmon)
Lineage: Eukaryota; Metazoa; Chordata; Actinopteri; Salmoniformes; Salmonidae
Description: lncRNA (ENSOKIG00005031610.1)
Source: RNAcentral
AUGCUGGAUCCUGCAUUGUGUGUAUAUAUAAUCACUGAUCGAUUGGAAUCCUGCAUUGAUCAAUCACUACUUAACUCUUCUCCAGGUUACCUUACUACUACAGCACCACACCACCAGAUAACCUUAGGAAUGCUAACCAAUCACAGAUUCACUAAUGAGGAUAUAAGCCGUGUCGCUCUCACUGUUCGACUACUAUGCCUGCCUGGUCCCACCUCCCUCCCUUUCUCUCUCUCCCCCCUCCCUCCCUUUCUCUCUCUCCCCCCCUCCCUCCCUUUCUCUCUCUCCCCCCUCCCUCCCUUUCUCUCUCUCCCCCCUCCCUCCCUUUCUCUCUCUCCCCCCUCUCUCCCUUUCUCUCUCUCCCCCCUCUCUCCUCCCUCUCUCCCUUUCUCUCUCUCCUCUCCCUCUCCCCCCUCUCUCCUCCCUCUCUCCCUUUCUCUCUCUCCUCCCUCUCUCCCUUUCUCUCUCUCCUCCCUCUCUCCCUUUCUCUCUCUCCCCCCUCUCUCCCUUUCUCUCACUCCCCCCUCCCUUUCUCUCUCCCCCCUCCCCCCCCUUCUCUCUCUCCCUUUCUCUCCCUUUCUCUCACUCCCCCCUCCCUCCCUUUCUCUCUCCCCCCUCCCUCCCUUUCUCUCUCUCCUCCCUCUCUCCCCCCUCCCUCCCUUUCUCUCUCUCCUCCCUCUCUCCCUUUCUCUCACUCCCCCUCCCUCCCUUUCUCUCACUCCCCCCUCCCUCCCUUUCUCUCUCUCCCCCUCCCUCCCUUUCUCUCUCUCCCCCUCCCUCCCUUUCUCUCUCUCCCCCUCCCUCCCUUUCUCUCUCUCCCCCUCCCUCCCUUUCUCUCUCUCCCCUCUCCCUCUCUCCCUUUCUCUCACUCCCCUCUCCCUCUCUCCCUUUCUCUCACUCCCCUCUCCCUCUCUCCCUUUCUCUCACUCCCCUCUCCCUCUCUCCCUUUCUCUCACUCCCCUCUCCCUCUCUCCCUUUCUCUCACUCCCCUCUCCCUCUCUCCCUUUCUCUCACUCCCCCCUCCCUCUCUCCCUUUCUCUCACUCCCCCCUCCCUCUCUCCCUUUCUCUCACUCCCCCCUCCCUCUCUCCCUUUCUCUCACUCCCCCCUCCCUCUCUCCCUUUCUCUCACUCCCCCCUCCCUCUCUCCCUUUCUCUCACUCCCCCCUCCCUCUCUCCCUUUCUCUCACUCCCCCCUCCCUCUCUCCCUUUCUCUCACUCCCCCCUCCCUCUCUCCCUUUCUCUCACUCCCCCCCUCCCUCUCUCCCUUUCUCUCACUCCCCCCCUCCCUCUCUCCCUUUCUCUCACUCCCCCCCUCCCUCUCUCCCUUUCUCUCACUCCCCCCCUCCCUCUCUCACUCCCCCUCUCUUCUCUCUCCCUCUCUCUCUCCCCCUCUCUCCCCCUCCCUCCCUCUCUCCCUCUACCUGUCUGUAGAAUAA